AUGCGGUGGGCCCUAGCGGUGCUUCUAGCUUUCCUGUCUCCUGCCAGUCAGAUAUCUUCCAACUUGGAAGGGAGAACGAAGUCAGUCACCAGGCUGACUGGGUCAUCUGCUGAAAUCACCUGUGAUCUUCCUGGAGCAAGUACCUUAUACAUCCACUGGUACCUGCACCAGGAGGGGAAGGCCCCACAGUGUCUUCUGUACUAUGAACCCUACUACUCCAGGGUUGUGCUGGAAUCAGGAAUCACUCCAGGAAAGUAUGACACUGGAAGCACAAGGAGCAAUUGGAAUUUGAGACUGCAAAAUCUAAUUAAAAAUGAUUCUGGGUUCUAUUACUGUGCCACCUGGGACAGG
Homo sapiens (human) is the source of this 351-nucleotide non-coding RNA. The record is from the annotation of a RefSeq genome assembly. Lineage: Eukaryota; Metazoa; Chordata; Mammalia; Primates; Hominidae.